This 465-nucleotide ribosomal RNA is filed under the name uncultured bacterium. Its description in RNAcentral is "partial 16S ribosomal RNA". It matches the Rfam family "Bacterial small subunit ribosomal RNA", at positions 338 to 795 of the family's 1533-position model. The record is from RNAcentral.
CCUACGGGAGGCAGCAGUGGGGAAUAUUGCGCAAUGGGCGAAAGCCUGACGCAGCGACGCCGCGUGAGGGAUGAAGGUCUUCGGAUCGUAAACCUCUGUCAGCAGGGAAGAACGGUCACUGUGCUAAUCAGCAGUGAAUUGACGGUACCUGCAAAGGAAGCACCGGCUAACUCCGUGCCAGCAGCCGCGGUAAUACGGAGGGUGCGAGCGUUAAUCGGAAUUACUGGGCGUAAAGCGCUCGUAGGCGGUAUGUCAAGUCAAGGGUGAAAUCCCCGCGCUCAACGUGGGAACUGCCUUUGAAACUGGCAAACUGGAGUGUGUGAGAGGAUAGUGGAAUUCCAGGUGUAGGGGUGAAAUGCGUAGAUAUCUGGAGGAACAUCAGUGGCGAAGGCGACUAUCUGGCACAUAACUGACGCUGAGGAGCGAAAGCGUGGGUAGCAAACAGGAUUAGAUACCCGAGUAGUC